This 513-nucleotide ribosomal RNA is filed under the name Duellmanohyla salvadorensis (Guerreran stream frog). RNAcentral describes it as "partial 12S ribosomal RNA". It matches the Rfam family "Bacterial small subunit ribosomal RNA", at positions 770 to 1522 of the family's 1533-position model. Lineage: Eukaryota; Metazoa; Chordata; Amphibia; Anura; Hylidae. The record is from RNAcentral.
AACUGGGAUUAGAUACCCCACUAUGCCCAGCCGUAAACUUUUAUUUACAUUGUAUCGCCUGGGAACUACGAGCCAAGCUUAAAACCCAAAGGACUUGACGGUACCCCAUAUCCACCUAGAGGAGCCUGUCCUAUAAUCGAUAACCCCCGCUUAACCUCACCAUUUCUAGCAUAACAGCCUAUAUACCUCCGUCGUCAGCCCACCCCGUGAGUGAUUCUCAGUGAGCUCAAUGUCCCUGAGUCAAAACGUCAGGUCAAGGUGCAGUAAAUGAAAUGGGAAGAGAUGGGCUACACUCUCUAAUAUAGAAUAAACGAAAGACUAUAUAUGAAACUUAGUCGGAAGGUGGAUUUAGAAGUAAAAAGAAAUCAUAAUGCUCUUUUUAACACGGCACUGGGGUGUGUACACACCGCCCGUCACCCUCUUCAAAGCCAAGAAAUAGUAUUUAACAAAAAUAAGCUAACAAGAAGAGGCAAGUCGUAACAUGGUAAGAGUACCGGAAGGUGCUCUUGGAAA